RNAcentral lists this ribosomal RNA (263 nucleotides) under uncultured bacterium. RNAcentral describes it as "partial 16S ribosomal RNA". It matches the Rfam family "Bacterial small subunit ribosomal RNA", at positions 793 to 1055 of the family's 1533-position model. The record is from RNAcentral.
GUCCACGCCCUAAACGAUGCGAGCUGGAUGUCGGAGGGCUUGCCCUUCGGUGUCGGAGCUAACGUGUUAAGCUCGCCGCCUGGGGAGUACGGCCGCAAGGUUAAAACUCAAAGGAAUUGACGGGGGCCCGCACAAGCGGUGGAGCAUGUGGUUUAAUUCUACGCAACGCGCAGAACCUUACCAGCUCUUGACAUGGCGGCCGUUGCCCGGAGCGAUCCGGGAGUCCCGCAAGGGGGCCGUCACAGGUGCUGCAUGGCUGUCGU